CCUACGGGAGGCAGCAGUGGGGAAUAUUGCACAAUGGGGGAAACCCUGAUGCGGCGACGCCGCGUGAGUGAAGAAGUAUUUCGGUAUGUAAAGCCCUAUCAGCAGGGAAGAAAAUGACGGUACCGGUUUAAGAAGCCCCGGCUAACUACGUGCCAGCCGCCGCGGUAAUACGUAGGGGGAAAGCGUUUGCCGGAUUUACUGGGUGUAAGGGGAGCGUAGACGGUGAUGCAAGUCAGAAGUGAAAGCCCGGGGCCCAACCCCGGGACUGCUUUUGAAAUUGUGUGACUGGAGUGCAGGAGAGGUAAGCGGAAUUCCUGGUGUAGCGGUGAAAUGCGUAGAUAUCAGGAGGAACACCAGUGGCGAAGGCGGCUUACUGGACUGUAACUGACGUUGAGGCUCGAAAGCGUGGGGAGCAAACAGGAUUAGAUACCCUGGUAGUC
This 440-nucleotide ribosomal RNA is filed under the name uncultured bacterium. RNAcentral's name for it is "partial 16S ribosomal RNA". It matches the Rfam family "Bacterial small subunit ribosomal RNA", at positions 338 to 795 of the family's 1533-position model. The record is from RNAcentral.